This is an RNA transcript of Daucus carota subsp. sativus, 3722 nucleotides long. RefSeq lists it as uncharacterized. The transcript is spliced from 9 exons. The record is from RefSeq and is a predicted model, not a curated record. Lineage: Eukaryota; Viridiplantae; Streptophyta; Magnoliopsida; Apiales; Apiaceae.
GACUCUUCGCGUGCCAGAAACCUCUCCUUUAUUGCACUUCUUCCUCUCUAUCUGAUAGUUUGCAUCAGUUUUGCUUUCAAGUUUCAUCAAUUGUGUAAAUUCGGGCAUAAUUCAUAAUUAAUGAUAGAUAUUCUGUCAUGGCUUACAGCUAGCUAAUCGUUGUGUGAACUCUAAAAUUAAGAAUUUUCCUCCGUAUGAAGCCACAAGAUCUUGAUUUGUGCAGAUAAUCUAAUGUUUAUACGUUUGCUUGCAGGCUUUUACAGAGGAUGCUGCAAGAAUGUUUCAAAAAAAAUCGAGGAGCGAGUUUAUGAUAAUUCUAAUGAGGCGAAUAUGUACAAGUUAUGUUCCUGCAAUUAGAUUGUUUUGAUAUUUGAUUGUUUCUUCAUCACAUUGGACACUUUAUACAGUCAUCAAGAUAUUACUUGUUUUUGCCUUAUUGUAGAGUUUCUGCUUUCCGAAGAAAUGUUGUGUGAAAAUAUGAGUGUGACCGGAAUGUCAAGGUAGGCAGGGGCAGCCAAGAGCCAAUUGUCAAAAACCUUUUGCAUGGCUGAUUGUCAAAAACUAUGCAGAUUUGGGGGAAAGUUUGAACCCUCCAUUUUUCGUGAUAAAGAAUAAUGAGUUGAAUUUGUGAUUCGCUGCGCUAAGCUUUCGGUUAUAUUUGUGGGCCGGGAUAAGAAGAUUUCAGGCUUAUGUAUUUCUCUUCCCAGAUUUGGAACAUGAACAAGUACAAUGGAGUGCUUGGUAUCUGGCAAAGCUAGCAGAGAAGACGAUUCAAUAUUUUCUAAACCUCUUAACUUCAUGAUUGAUGUCCCUUUUGGAAUUUUUUAAUUUAUUUGUUCUUACUAUCUUUCGUUCUUUAGGAUAAGCUUGAUCCAGUUGUAGGAAGGCAACCACAAAUUGAACGUUAUUGGGCCGGAGGACUAAAAAUAUCCUUGCCUAAUUCGAGAGCCCGGUGUUGGAAAACAGCUAUUGUAGAAGGAACAGCUCAAAGGAUUGAAAAUGGCGAUGUUCCAGAAAAAUUAGAGGUGGAGAAGGAAUGGAUGUCAGAUCAUUUGUGAUUUCUGUGUGCAUUAAAAUUACAAACAGGAGUACAACAGUUGGAUCCUCUCCUCGUCUUUUGCUUGCAUCUGUGACACUCCAUCUUCUAUUUUGCAACCUCUGCUGCACAUUAGUGAAUUGUAAUUUAUUUGUUGAUUUUUAGGUGUUUGUUUGUUUGAUUCAAGGGUCUUCUUUUGGUUCCGGAUGUUUACGAUGCUGCACAGAAGAUUGGAUUAGAGAGUUUCUAAGCAGUUUAUCCAAGAGUGUGAGUUUUUAAGCAGUUUAUCCAAGAGUGUGAGCUGCUUGUGUCUCUGUGAGUAUGCAUUCUUAUUGUUAAUGUGAUGUUUACGUUUGCAAGUCUAAAGAAUCGUAUACUAAUUGGGUGAAAGAAAUUUAAAAGAUUCCUUUUAACUAUAUGGAUCAGCGCUCUAGGGCUGGCUGGUUAGUUCAAUUGCCGAAGCUAAAGUCUCCUUUCUAAUCAAGGUUGUGGAGUGUGGAGGCCUAGGGCCUGACAGAGCAUAGAAGGAUAUUCAGAAUAGUCGCUGUUUUUAUGAAUUUAUUCUCAAGGACGUUUCUAUAGUUUGAAUACCUUGGUUAUAAUAGAAAAGGUCUUCAUUAUAUUGGCUACAAUUCGACCUCACUAUGCUUCCAUUUUCUAAAGUUAAUUUUUUGUGCAAGUUUAUUACUGAAGUUAUUGCUUCACUUUUAUAUUUGUGAUGAUUCUUUUAUUACUGUGAAUAUGCGAGGCAGUAUUGAUGUCAAUCCAAGAUCCCUGAUUUUUUUACUGAAAAAGUUCUGGUGAUGCAGGAAAUGCACUUGGAGGAUUCUUACAAUCUAGCAUGUGUUCUUACACUUCCUCCCUAUCAGAGAAAGGAUUAUGGGAAAUUCCUGAUUGCGUUUUGUAAGACUUCAGACUCUUAUAUUAUGUCAUUGUUAAAUUUCCUAAUGCAGUGAAUUGUAGUGCGGCCAACCUUUUUGUUAUAGGGAACGACCCUUGAAAUCUAUCAGGUACUCAUUUAGCACCUCAUCCAGUUUCACUUUUGUAAGGUUUUGCUCAUCACUCAGUAUCUCCAAGGUCCUUUCAUUCUGUAGAUUCUGAGAACUAGAGGAAUAGUAAAUGAUAUUUUGGAUGAUUAGUAUACAAUACAAAUGAAGGAAACAAUUAAAUGAAACCAGUGGCACGGGUCAUUCCAUUGUGUGAAUAAAAAUAAAAACCAACUUAAAAAUUAAGACUUAUAAAAUGUUUUAGACGCUGUCCUGACCCGAAAGUAAACAGAGUCCACAAAAUACUAAGUAAUGCUAUAAUUAAUGUUUGAAAGGAGCUUUGAAAUUAAUCAGUGUUAUAUAAUUUGCUGAUUUGUCUAAGAGUAAAUUAUGAGUCUUUUUAUGAGAAGCGGCCACCUCCAUUAACAUGAAUCAUGUUACUAUGAUUUACAUCAAUUGUUAAGAUCUAUAACCACAAGGGAGAACCGAAAUUUUCAACAUUUCUCUGAUGAACGAAGCUAAAUUUUUUAGACUGAAAAGGCACUAUAUCUUUAUAGUUGAUCGUAGAUUUAAUGAGUUAGGGAUCAUAUGGAUCGAGCUGGUCGAUACAGACAGACACAUUAUUCAAAACAAGUAGAUACAGAAAAUCAACAUUCUUAUAAUUAGCAUAUAAACUUUAAUCAGAUUUUUUUACAUAUUGAAAGAACUCAUUAUAAAGCUGAACUGCCUUUAGUCGGUAUUCAGGGAUGUUGUCUACCUGUAAUUUUCCAAUGAAGGAAGAGACAUUCGCAGUUUUUGGUGGAUCGGAUAACUGAAGUAAUGGAAUCAGUGCUUCUAUCACUCUUUUUGCUCCAUAUUAGUUUGUUUCACAUGUGGCGAAAGUAGCUUGAAGGAAAAAGAGCGCUUCUGACUAGGGACAUGCAGGUGAUUCUUAGGGAAGAAGUAGGAACUAUUGGUGAUGAGGUGCUGAAAGCAAAUGCAAACCUGGUAAAGUGGAUGCUCCUUUCUUUGCAUGGCCAUGGAAAUAUCUGGGUAGUUACAAGGUACUAGCUAGAAUGCUCUUAUUCUUUUUUAGCUUCUUUUUUGAUGUACUAGGCAACACAAUAGAUGAGACUUGCUGCAAAACUAUAAAACAGUCUUGGUCGGAAUAGACAAAGCUGCUGCAGAUCCCAGCGAACUAUUGCAUCUCUCACAAUUAUUUGUAACAUGCAGACCUCUGAACUCUUCUCAACAACUAAAAGACUUCCUAGCACUUUCAUUCAUUGAGUCUGCUCAGUAUGAUUUUCCUAUAACAAAAUAUGUACGGAGAGUAUGCAACGCUGUUGACGGAGCAGCAGAAAGUACUGAUAUUCUUGGCAGAAUUGCGACUGGCUUCAAUGUUUCUGCUCUAGGAGGGAUUUUCGGAAGAUCAUGCAACUCUAUUUUUGACAUCCAAUCCAUCAAUAACAGUUGUGGAUGGGCAUGGCAGGUACUUUGUGCAACAUAUGUUCUUCUGGUUCAACCUUUUCAGUAUUUAUGUUAUGUAGAUCAGAGUUGCCGCAGAGUUCAAAUGAAAUUCUCAUGAACUCGGUAUAGUUUCUUCUCGUUUUCAUUCAUCCUUUUCCCAAGCAAUGUAAAGAACUGGUAAUGCCAGUAGGAUCUGCUGCAAAUGAUACAAUGUUCGGAGAAUGGCCUUUUAAUAUUAAAAACCUUGAUAGAAA